UAAGAGNNACGGUGCGAUGUGNAGCAUAUUUUAGAGCUAAAAUCAAAUUAUUUAUCUUUAUAAUUUUACUUUCAAAUUCACUUUUAAUAAAUUUUUCAUAAUUAUAUCCAUUUAAAUAAAUUUAUUGUAACCCAUUAAAACUUAAAUAUAAGCUACACCUUGAUCUGAUAUAAAUUUUUAUAAAAAUUAUAGAAAAUUAUUUUUCUUAUAAAAUAUUCUAUUAACAACGAUAUAUAAACUGAAAAACAAAUUUAAGAAAGGUACAACGUGGACUAUCGAUUACAAAACAGGUUCCUCUGAAUAGACUAAAAUACCGCCAAAUUUUUUAAGUUUUAAGAUCAUAACUAUUACUACUCAAAUAUAUAAAUUACAAUUUAAAUAAUAGGGUAUCUAAUCCUAG
RNAcentral lists this ribosomal RNA (400 nucleotides) under Nephrocerus daeckei. RNAcentral's name for it is "partial 12S ribosomal RNA". The record is from RNAcentral. Lineage: Eukaryota; Metazoa; Arthropoda; Insecta; Diptera; Pipunculidae.